UACGUAGGGAGCAAGCGUUGUCCGGAAUCAUUGGGCGUAAAGCGCGCGUAGGCGGCCCUGUAAGUCCGUUGUGAAAGUCAAAGGCUCAACCUUUGAAAGCCGAUGGAUACUGCAGGGCUAGAGUUCGGAAGAGGCGAGUGGAAUUCCUGGUGUAGCGGUGGAAUGCGCAGAUAUCAGGAGGAACACCAAUAGCGAAGGCAGCUCGCUGGGACGAUACUGACGCUAAGGCGCGAAAGCGUGGGGAGCGAACAGG
RNAcentral lists this ribosomal RNA (253 nucleotides) under uncultured bacterium. RNAcentral's name for it is "partial 16S ribosomal RNA". It matches the Rfam family "Bacterial small subunit ribosomal RNA", at positions 524 to 776 of the family's 1533-position model. The record is from RNAcentral.